AGUGAACGCUGGCGGUAGGCCUAACACAUGCAAGUCGAACGGCAGCACAGUAAGAGCUUGCUCUUACGGGUGGCGAAUGGCGGACGGGUGAGGAAUACAUCGGAAUCUACUUUUUCGUGGGGGAUAACGUAGGGAAACUUACGCUAAUACCGCAUACGACCUACGGGUGAAAGCAGGGGAUCUUCGGACCUUGCGCGAUUGAAUGAGCCGAUGUCGGAUUAGCUAGUUGGCGGGGUAAAGGCCCACCAAGGCGACGAUCCGUAGCUGGUCUGAGAGGAUGAUCAGCCACACUGGAACUGAGACACGGUCCAGACUCCUACGGGAGGCAGCAGUGGGGAAUAUUGGACAAUGGGCGCAAGCCUGAUCCAGCCAUACCGCGUGGGUGAAGAAGGCCUUCGGGUUGUAAAGCCCCUUUGUUGGGAAAGAAAAGCAGCAGGUUAAUACCCCGCUGUUCUGACGGUACCCAAAGAAUAAGCACCGGCUAACUUCGUG
RNAcentral lists this ribosomal RNA (492 nucleotides) under uncultured bacterium. RNAcentral's name for it is "partial 16S ribosomal RNA". It matches the Rfam family "Bacterial small subunit ribosomal RNA", at positions 29 to 507 of the family's 1533-position model. The record is from RNAcentral.